UUGAUGGAGAGUUUGAUUCUGGCUCAGAACGAACGCUGGCGGCGUGGAUAAGACAUGCAAGUCGAACGAGAGAAUUGCUAGCUUGCUAAUAAUUCUCUAGUGGCGCACGGGUGAGUAACACGUGAGUAACCUGCCCCCGAGAGCGGGAUAGCCCUGGGAAACUGGGAUUAAUACCGCAUAGUAUCGAAAGAUUAAAGCAGCAAUGCGCUUGGGGAUGGGCUCGCGGCCUAUUAGUUAGUUGGUGAGGUAACGGCUCACCAAGGCGAUGACGGGUAGCCGGUCUGAGAGGAUGUCCGGCCACACUGGAACUGAGACACGGUCCAGACACCUACGGGUGGCAGCAGUCGAGAAUCAUUCACAAUGGGGGAAACCCUGAUGGUGUGACGCCGCGUGGGGGAAUGAAGGUCUUCGGAUUGUAAACCCCUGUCAUGUGGGAGCAAAUUAAAAAGAUAGUACCACAAGAGGAAGAGACGGCUAACUCUGUGCCAGCAGCCGCGGUAAUACAGAGGUCUCAAGCGUUGUUCGGAAUCACUGGGCGUAAAGCGUGCGUAGGCUGUUUCGUAAGUCGUGUGUGAAAGGCGCGGGCUCAACCCGCGGACGGCACAUGAUACUGCGAGACUAGAGUAAUGGAGGGGGAACCGGAAUUCUCGGUGUAGCAGUGAAAUGCGUAGAUAUCGAGAGGAACACUCGUGGCGAAGGCGGGUUCCUGGACAUUAACUGACGCUGAGGCACGAAGGCCAGGGGAGCGAAAGGGAUUAGAUACCCCUGUAGUCCUGGCAGUAAACGGUGCACGCUUGGUGUGCGGGGAAUCGACCCCCUGCGUGCCGGAGCUAACGCGUUAAGCGUGCCGCCUGGGGAGUACGGUCGCAAGAUUAAAACUCAAAGAAAUUGACGGGGACCCGCACAAGCGGUGGAGUAUGUGGCUUAAUUCGAUGCAACGCGAAGAACCUUACCUGGGCUUGACAUGUAAUGAACAACAUGUGAAAGCAUGCGACUCUUCGGAGGCGUUACACAGGUGCUGCAUGGCCGUCGUCAGCUCGUGUCGUGAGAUGUUUGGUUAAGUCCAGCAACGAGCGCAACCCCUGUUGCCAGUUACCAGCACGUGAAGGUGGGGACUCUGGCGAGACUGCCCAGAUCAACUGGGAGGAAGGUGGGGACGACGUCAGGUCAGUAUGGCCCUUAUGCCCAGGGCUGCACACGUACUACAAUGCCCAGUACAGAGGGGGCCGAAGCCGCGAGGCGGAGGAAAUCCUGAAAACUGGGCCCAGUUCGGACUGUAGGCUGCAACCCGCCUACACGAAGCCGGAAUCGCUAGUAAUGGCGCAUCAGCUACGGCGCCGUGAAUACGUUCCCGGGUCUUGUACACACCGCCCGUCACAUCAUGGAAGCCGGUCGCACCCGAAGUAUCUGAAGCCAACCGCAAGGAGGCAGGGUCCUAAGGUGAGACUGGUAACUGGGAUGAAGUCGUAACAAGGUAGCCGUAGGGGAACCUGCGGCUGGAUCACCUCCUUU
Molecule: ribosomal RNA, 1512 nt
Filed under: Akkermansia muciniphila
Lineage: Bacteria; Pseudomonadati; Verrucomicrobiota; Verrucomicrobiia; Verrucomicrobiales; Akkermansiaceae
Description: bacterial SSU rRNA
Rfam family: Bacterial small subunit ribosomal RNA
Source: RNAcentral